UACGUAGGUGGCAAGCGUUGUCCGGAUUUACUGGGCGUAAAGAGCGCGCAGGCGGUCGGAUCAGUCGAAUGUGAAAGCCCCCGGCCCAACUGGGGAGGGUCAUUCGAUACUGUCCGACUCGAAGGCAGGAGAGGGAAGCGGAAUUCCCGGUGUAGUGGUGAAAUGCGUAGAUAUCGGGAGGAACACCAGUGGCGAAGGCGGCUUUCUGGCCUGUUCUUGACGCUGAGGCGCGAAAGCUAGGGGAGCGAACGGG
This 253-nucleotide ribosomal RNA is filed under the name uncultured bacterium. RNAcentral describes it as "partial 16S ribosomal RNA". It matches the Rfam family "Bacterial small subunit ribosomal RNA", at positions 524 to 776 of the family's 1533-position model. The record is from RNAcentral.